RNAcentral lists this ribosomal RNA (768 nucleotides) under uncultured bacterium. RNAcentral describes it as "bacterial SSU rRNA". It matches the Rfam family "Bacterial small subunit ribosomal RNA", at positions 9 to 771 of the family's 1533-position model. The record is from RNAcentral.
GAGUUUGAUCCUGACUCAGAGCGAACGCUGGCGGCGUGCUUAACACAUGCAAGUCGAACGCGCAGUUUUCUGUAGCAAUACAGGGGACGGGCGCGUGGCGAACGGGUGCGUAACACGUGGGUAACCUUCCCUCAUGUGGGGGAUAACCCGCCGAAAGGCGGGCUAAUACCGCAUAACAUUCCGAUGGCCUCGGCUGUUGGAAUCAAAGCCCGCAAGGGCGCAAGAGGAGGGACCCGCGGCCGAUUAGCUUGUUGGCGAGGUAAUGGCUCACCAAGGCAUUGAUCGGUAGCCGGACUGAGAGGUUGGCCGGCCACACUGGAACUGAGACACGGUCCAGACUCCUACGGGAGGCAGCAGUGGGGAAUCUUGCGCAAUGGGCGAAAGCCUGACGCAGCAACGCCGCGUGGGGGAUGAAGCUUCUCGGAGUGUAAACCCCUUUCGACCCGGACGAAGGCCCGCAAGGGCUUGACGGUACGGGUAUAAGAAGCCCCGGCUAACUACGUGCCAGCAGCCGCGGUAAAACGUAGGGGGCCAGCGUUGCUCGGAAUUACUGGGCGUAAAGGGUCCGUAGGCGGUGUGGCAAGUCGGUAGUGAAAUCUCUGGGCUUAACUCAGAGGCUGCUGCCGAAACUGCUGUGCUCGAGUGCGAGAGAGGCGAGUGGAAUUGCAGGUGUAGCGGUGAAAUGCGUAGAUAUCUGCAGGAACAUCCGAGGCGAAAGCGGCUCGCUGGAUCGCAACUGACGCUGAGGGACGAAAGCUAGGGGAGCAA